UAAUACAUGCAAGUCGAGCGAACUUUUGGGAGCUUGCUCCCAAAAGUUAGCGGCGGACGGGUGAGAAACACGUGGGCAACCUGCCUAUAAGACUGGGAUAACUUCGGGAAACCGGAGCUAAUACCGGAUAACAUAUGAGACCACAUGGUCUCAUAUUAAAAGAUGGCUUUUAGCUAUCACUUAUAGAUGGGCCCGCGGCGCAUUAGCUAGUUGGUGAGGUAAUGGCUCACCAAGGCGACGAUGCGUAGCCGACCUGAGAGGGUGAUCGGCCACACUGGGACUGAGACACGGCCCAGACUCCUACGGGAGGCAGCAGUAGGGAAUCUUCCGCAAUGGACGAAAGUCUGACGGAGCACGCCGCGUGAGCGAAGAAGGUCUUCGGAUCGUAAAGCUCUGUUGUUAGGGAAGAACAAGUACCGUUCAAAUAGGGCGGUACCUUGACGGUACCUAACCAGAAAGCCACGGCUAACUACGUGCCAGCAGCCGCGGUAAUACGUAGGUGGCAAGCGUUAUCCGGAAUUAUUGGGCGUAAAGCGCGCGCAGGCGGUCCUUUAAGUCUGAUGUGAAAGCCCACGGCUCAACCGUGGAGGGUCAUUGGAAACUGGGGGACUUGAGUGCAGAAGAGGAGAGCGGAAUUCCACGUGUAGCGGUGAAAUGCGUAGAGAUGUGGAGGAACACCAGUGGCGAAGGCGGCUCUCUGGUCUGUAACUGACGCUGAGGCGCGAAAGCGUGGGGAGCGAACAGGAUUAGAUACCCUGGUAGUCCACGCCGUAAACGAUGAGUGCUAAGUGUUAGAGGGUUUCCGCCCUUUAGUGCUGCAGCAAACGCAUUAAGCACUCCGCCUGGGGAGUACGGUCGCAAGACUGAAACUCACAGGAAUUGACGGGCGCCCGCACAAGCGGUGGAGCAUGUGGUUUAAUUCGAAGCAACGCGAAGAA
This 938-nucleotide ribosomal RNA is filed under the name uncultured bacterium. RNAcentral describes it as "bacterial SSU rRNA". It matches the Rfam family "Bacterial small subunit ribosomal RNA", at positions 49 to 968 of the family's 1533-position model. The record is from RNAcentral.